Molecule: unclassified non-coding RNA, 302 nt
Filed under: plant metagenome
Description: partial contains small subunit ribosomal RNA, internal transcribed spacer 1, and 5.8S ribosomal RNA
Source: RNAcentral
UUUCCGUAGGUGAACCUGCGGAAGGAUCAUUAAUGGGAAAUCAAAUCAAAUCAAAACAAAUGUUCUGUUGCACUGGGUGUGCUGUGUGGUGGUGGUGUUAGACAUGGAGAUUCAAUCAUUGGAGAUUCAAUCAUUGGAGAUUCAAUCAUUGGAGAUUCAAUCAUUGGAAUUUCAAUCAUUGGAGAUUCAAUCAUUCAAUCUCAAUCAUCGCCACACAACACAACUAUCUAUCACACUCGAUCAACAACAACACACUCACACACAACAGCAAACAACUUUUAACAAUGGAUCUCUUGGCUCUU